This 80-nucleotide small RNA is filed under the name Klebsiella variicola. RNAcentral's name for it is "partial RtT sRNA". It matches the Rfam family "RtT RNA", at positions 49 to 130 of the family's 130-position model. Rfam says of the family: This family represents a bacterial cis-regulatory element known as RtT RNA. The exact function of RtT is unknown although it is thought that it may be involved in changing the cellular response in relation to amino acid starvation. RNAcentral also lists the same sequence under 1 other name. Lineage: Bacteria; Pseudomonadati; Pseudomonadota; Gammaproteobacteria; Enterobacterales; Enterobacteriaceae. The record is from RNAcentral.
CCAGCACCAGGGAGGAUAACGUUGCGUAAGCAACGGCCCGAAGGGCGAGGCUUAGCUGAGUCAUCCUCCCGGAUGCACCA